GUCAAAUCCUGAUCUAAAGGGAGGCAUCUUCCUUCUUAUGGCAUGGCCAUGUCUCCUGUGUUCCUUCCUCAAGCCAAAUCCUUUUCCACGAUGCCUUCCCCUCUGAGCCCUGUAUAACCCAAUAGUGCAAAUAUUCCCACAUCCCCUACCCACAACAGGGGUGAGCACAUUGCAAAUGUUCCGCCGGCGAAUCAGCACCUGCCUGGAGGUGUUCUUGGUGUCUGCGUCCUGCCUCCAGUACAGAGGACCUCAAAUCCAUGAUACUUCACCUGGUGCUCCCCAGGAAAGCCUGGCAGAGGACCUGACGAUUCCCAGCAAGACCAAGCACUGCUGUCCAGGGUCAGCCACGGUCACUUCUCUGCAGCUGUCAUCCGGGCACAAUCUCCAAAUAUUUCUAGCCAUUCAGACGUUCACUAUAAUCAGAAUUAACGCAUGUAGAACCAAAGAGCCAGACACAUGGGUUCAAACCUGCCCCACCAUUUACAGUGAGAGCUUAGUGAGUCACUUAACCUGUGCCUCAGUUUUCUCACCUGUAAAAAGAACAUAACAGUAACAAUACCAUUGAGCUGCUAUGCAGUGGAUGAGCUUCUAUAUGAAAGGUUGCUCCAUGACGGGCAGCUGUAUCGUCUUAGAACCGGACUUUCCGGGAGAGCCUUUGGGUCACUCUGGGCGUCAGCUGGAAAGGGCUGCUCUUGGAGCAAGCUCACUGGCCCACAGGAGGAGCUGCCUUCUUGAACUGUCACCCUGAAGCCAACCAAAGUCUGGGCAACGCCAGCUCCAGUGACUGCCGCUCCAUCUCCUAGGCAAUUUGCAUCGCUGUUUCUGUUUGUUAGGCCUUGACCAUUCCUUUGUUGUCAUCCUGCGCUUCCCUGGCCAUAGGCCUUUUCCCAGCCCCACCACGGCAUGCCCACCUGUGCUUGGGGAGGGGCGGAGGAAGGAGCCCCAGCCAGCCAUGUCCCUGUUUCGUGCUCCAGUGACCACUGCUAUGAGGACUUUCCCACUGGCUCAGGCUCAGUUAGUCGAGCUGGUGUGCCCCGCUCUUAGCUGUUCCCCAACUCUCCUAGAGUGUGCUAAUUCUGACCCAGCUCUCCCAGGUGGAGGAUGCUUUUCAAACAUGUCCUUGGGAACCUCUGCAGACCCAUUCCCAGCCCAUUCUCCAUGAUUCCAGGCCUGGCCAGGUUGAAAACUUCUGUAAAUUAAAACUCAAAUAAAGAGAGUAUAGCUUGGGCAUACCUUUUGCACAUGCAUAUAUAUGUAUGUGUGUGCAUGUGUGUGUGUGCAUGUAUGUGUGUGCAUGUAUGUGUGUGCAUGUGUUG
Molecule: long non-coding RNA, 1316 nt
Filed under: Homo sapiens (human)
Lineage: Eukaryota; Metazoa; Chordata; Mammalia; Primates; Hominidae
Description: HSALNT0273124
Source: RNAcentral